GUUUAACCAACUUGAGAAUUUUGUAUAUUGAUUGGCAAUGCUCACAGUUUUAUUUUUUUUUAUUAAGGCUAUAAGUCUCAUUUUACAUUUUAUUGAUUCACAACUGAGUUUCUCACAUCUUUUCUAGAAGUUCCAAUUCCAAGUAAUUUUUUUGUGUUCCUAUUUUCUAAUUUGAUAUUGGAGGUCUUCUUUCAAUUGAUCAUCUUGUGAAGGGUGGUCUGAUGUAAAUGGGAGGCCAAUUCUUUUUUAUUUUCCCUGGACCUAAUGGGUUCAUUGGUUGCUUGUUUUUGUUGGGACUAUCUAUUUUCUUUUAAUUUUCAGAAGUGGUUCAAAGAGUGAGGUGGUUCCCAUUCUUUGGAAGUAGUCUUAGUAUAGAAAGAGGCAUUCUAAGUUGUCUCAAAGUAAUGUUUCUCCCAACAUAGUUUCUGGAUGCUAUGAUCACAUCAUUUCAAUUUUCAAUUUCUUGUUACUGACAAGUUAUUCCUUUCUAUAUAUGUUCAUGUAACCUAUAGAAGUUA
RNAcentral lists this unclassified non-coding RNA (518 nucleotides) under Hevea brasiliensis (rubber tree). The record is from RNAcentral. Lineage: Eukaryota; Viridiplantae; Streptophyta; Magnoliopsida; Malpighiales; Euphorbiaceae.